ACGAACGCUGGCGGCGUGCUUAACACAUGCAAGUCGAACGAAGAGCGAUGGAAGCUUGCUUCUAUCAAUCUUAGUGGCGAACGGGUGAGUAACGCGUAAUCAACCUGCCCUUCAGAGGGGGACAACAGUUGGAAACGACUGCUAAUACCGCAUACGAUCUAACCUCGGCAUCGAGGAAAGAUGAAAGGUGGCCUCUAUGUAUAAGCUAUCACUGAAGGAGGGGAUUGCGUCUGAUUAGCUAGUUGGAGGGGUAACGGCCCACCAAGGCGAUGAUCAGUAGCCGGUCUGAGAGGAUGAACGGCCACAUUGGGACUGAGACACGGCCCAGACUCCUACGGGAGGCAGCAGUGGGGAAUCUUCCGCAAUGGACGAAAGUCUGACGGAGCAACGCCGCGUGAGUGAUGACGGCCUUCGGGUUGUAAAGCUCUGUUAAUCGGGACGAAAGGCCUUCUUGCGAAUAGUGAGAAGGAUUGACGGUACCGGAAUAGAAAGCCACGGCUAACUACG
Molecule: ribosomal RNA, 507 nt
Filed under: uncultured bacterium
Lineage: Bacteria
Description: partial 16S ribosomal RNA
Rfam family: Bacterial small subunit ribosomal RNA
Source: RNAcentral